GCCGGUUUGGCCACAGGAAUUUCCGUCCGGAAGUGUGGGCAUUUUCGGCAGAAAACCAAAGCCCCGUGGGAUCGUCCAGAUAAAUCAAGAUGCGGGCCCGCCAGCGUGGAGUAUGUGUUUAUUCGACGCACGGAAGACCUACCAGCUUGACAUGAGCGCAUCUUUGAAAGUAGAGUCUCUCGAGCGUGAAACAGGUGUGCAUGGUGCGUCAGCUCGUGUCGUGAGAUGUGGGUUAAGUCCCGCAACGAGCGCAACCCCUGCGAUAUGUGCCAGCGUGUAAAGAUGGGAACUCAUAUCGGACAGCCGGGGACAACUCGGAGGAAGGCGGGGAUGACGUCAAAUCAUCAUGCCCCUUAUGGCUUGGGCUACACACGUACUACAAUGGUCAUAACAGACGGAAGCGAAGUCGUGAGACGAAGCGAAACUGAGAAAAUAACGUCUCAGUACGGAUUGCAGGCUGCAACUCGCCUGCAUGAAGUCGGAAUCGCUAGUAAUCGCGGAUCAGAAUGUCGCGGUGAAUACGUUCCCGGGUCUUGUACACACCGCCCGUCACACCAUGGGAGUUAGGAAUGCCCGAAGUCUGUGACCUAACCGCAAGGAAGGAGCAGCCGAAGGCAGGUCUGAUAACUGGGGUGAAGUCGUAACAAGGUAGCCGUAUCGGAAGGUGC
Molecule: ribosomal RNA, 668 nt
Filed under: uncultured bacterium
Lineage: Bacteria
Description: bacterial SSU rRNA
Rfam family: Bacterial small subunit ribosomal RNA
Source: RNAcentral